This 1182-nucleotide long non-coding RNA is filed under the name Monodon monoceros (narwhal). RNAcentral's name for it is "lncRNA (ENSMMNG00015012327.1)". The record is from RNAcentral. Lineage: Eukaryota; Metazoa; Chordata; Mammalia; Artiodactyla; Monodontidae.
AAUGUGCUGUUGGAUUCUGUUUGCUAGUAUUUUGUUGAGGAUUUUUGCAUCUAUGUUCAUCAGUGAUAUUGGCCUGUAGUUUUCUUUUUUUGUGACAUCUUUGUCUGCUUUUGGUAUCAGGGUGAUGGUGGCCUUGUAGAAUGAGUUUACGAGUGUUCCUUCCUCUGCUAUAUUUUGGAAGAGUUUGAGAAGGAUAGGUGUUAGCUCUUCUCUAAAUGUUUGAUAGAAUUCACCUGUGAAGCCAUCUGGUCCUGGGCUUUUGUUUGUUGGGAGAUUUUUAAUCAGUUUCAAUUUCAGUGCUUGUGAUUUGUGUGUUCAUAUUUUCUAUUUCUUCCUAGUUCAGUCUCGGAAGGUUGUGGUUUUCUGAAUGUGUCCAUUUCUUCCAGGUUGUCCAUUUUAUUGGCAUAGAGUUGCUUGUAGUAAUCUCUCAUGAUCCUUUGUAUUUCUGCAGUGUCAGUUGUUACUUCUCCUUUUUCGUUUCUAAUUCUGUUGAUUUGAGUCUUCUCCCUUUUUUUCUUGAUGAGUCUGGCUAAUGGUUUAUCACUUUUGUUUAUCUUCUCAAAGAACCAGCUUUUAGUUUUAUUGAUCUUUGCUAUAGUUUCCUUCAUUUCUUUUUCAUUUAUUUCUGAUAUGAUCUUUAUGAUUUCUUUCCUUCUGCUAACUUUGGAGUUUUUUUGUUGUUCUCUCUCUAAUUGCUUUGGGUGUAAGGUUAGGUUGUUUAUUUGAGAUGUUUCUUUUUUUUUAAUUAAUUUUUCUUUUCUUUUCUUUUUUGCGGUACGUGGGCCUCUCACUGUUGUGGCCUCUCCCGUUGCGGAGCACAGGCUCCAGAUGUGCAGACUCAGUGGCUAUGGCUCUCGGACCCAGCCGCUCUGCAGCAUGUGGGAUCUUCCCUGACCGGGGCAGGAACCCAUGUCCCCUGCAUCGGCAGGCGGACUCUCAGCCACUGCGCCACCAGGGAAGCCCUGUUUCUUGUUUCUUAAGCCGUCUCAGAGCUGUGACUAUUUUCAAGGCUACUGUUUUUCUCUGUGGAACACUGCCUUUGGGACAAAACAAGGAAGAAGCAGGUAUGUCACAAGGAGCUCAAAAUGAGAGUGACUCAUACUUUAUAGGGAACAGCCCACCUGAAAGCCAUGGGCAGGAGACUCUUGCCAAGAUUAUAGAGAUUUAGAAUUAGCAGGGAUC